RNAcentral lists this ribosomal RNA (497 nucleotides) under uncultured bacterium. RNAcentral describes it as "partial 16S ribosomal RNA". It matches the Rfam family "Bacterial small subunit ribosomal RNA", at positions 28 to 507 of the family's 1533-position model. The record is from RNAcentral.
GAUGAACGCUGGCGGCGUGCCUAAUACAUGCAAGUCGAGCGAACGGACGAGAAGCUUGCUUCUCUGAUGUUAGCGGCGGACGGGUGAGUAACACGUGGAUAACCUACCUAUAAGACUGGGAUAACUUCGGGAAACCGGAGCUAAUACCGGAUAAUAUUUUGAACCGCAUGGUUCAAAAGUUAAAGACGGUCUUGCUGUCACUUAUAGAUGGAUCCGCGCUGCAUUAGCUAGUUGGUAAGGUAACGGCUUACCAAGGCAACGAUGCAUAGCCGACCUGAGAGGGUGAUCGGACACACUGGAACUGAGACACGGUCCAGACUCCUACGGGAGGCAGCAGUAGGGAAUAUUCCGCAAUGGGCGAAAGCCUGACGGAGCAACGCCGCGUGAGUGAUGAAGGUCUUCGGAUCGUAAAACUCUGUUAUUAGGGAAGAACAUAUGUGUAAGUAACUGUGCACAUCUUGACGGUACCUAAUCAGAAAGCCACGGCUAACUACGUG